This 383-nucleotide ribosomal RNA is filed under the name Bacillus cereus. RNAcentral's name for it is "bacterial SSU rRNA". It matches the Rfam family "Bacterial small subunit ribosomal RNA", at positions 565 to 946 of the family's 1533-position model. The record is from RNAcentral. Lineage: Bacteria; Bacillati; Bacillota; Bacilli; Caryophanales; Bacillaceae.
GCGCGCGCAGGUGGUUUCUUAAGUCUGAUGUGAAAGCCCACGGCCUCUCCGUGGAGGGUCAUUGGAAACUGGGAGACUUGAGUGCACAAGAGGAAAGUGGAAUUCCAUGUGUAGCGGUGAAAUGCGUAGAGAUAUGGAGGAACACCAGUGGCGAAGGCGACUUUCCGGUCUGUAACUGACACUGAGGCGCGAAAGCGUGGGGAGCAAACAGGAUUAGAUACCCUGGUAGUCCACGCCGUAAACGAUGAGUGCUAAGUGUUAGAGGGUUUCCGCCCUUUAGUGCUGAAGUUAACGCAUUAAGCACUCCGCCUGGGGAGUACGGCCGCAAGGCUGAAACUCAAAGGAAUUGACGGGGGCCCGCACCAGCGGAGGAGCAUGUGGUU